AACGAACGCUGGCGGCAUGCCUAACACAUGCAAGUCGAACGAGACCUUCGGGUCUAGUGGCGCACGGGUGCGUAACGCGUGGGAACCUGCCCUUAGGUUCGGAAUAACUCCCCGAAAGGGGUGCUAAUACCGGAUAAUGUCUUCGGACCAAAGAUUUAUCGCCUUUGGAUGGGCCCGCGUUGGAUUAGCUAGUUGGUAGGGUAAAAGCCUACCAAGGCGACGAUCCAUAGCUGGUCUGAGAGGAUGAUCAGCCACACUGGGAAUGAGACACGGCCCAGACUCCUACGGGAGGAAGCAGUGGGGAAGAUUGGAAAAUGGGCGAAAGCCUGAUCCAGCAAGGCCGCGUGAGUGAUGAAGGCCUUAGGGUUGUAAAGCUCUUGUACCCGGGAUGAUAAUGACAGUACCGGGAGAAUAAGCUCCGGCUAACUCCGUG
This 433-nucleotide ribosomal RNA is filed under the name uncultured bacterium. RNAcentral's name for it is "partial 16S ribosomal RNA". It matches the Rfam family "Bacterial small subunit ribosomal RNA", at positions 29 to 507 of the family's 1533-position model. The record is from RNAcentral.